RNAcentral lists this ribosomal RNA (253 nucleotides) under uncultured bacterium. Its description in RNAcentral is "partial 16S ribosomal RNA". It matches the Rfam family "Bacterial small subunit ribosomal RNA", at positions 524 to 776 of the family's 1533-position model. The record is from RNAcentral.
UACAGAGGUCUCAAGCGUUGUUCGGAUUCAUUGGGCGUAAAGGGUGCGUAGGCGGCGCGGUAAGUCGGGUGUGAAAUCUCGGAGCUUAACUCCGAAACUGCAUUCGAUACUGCCGUGCUUGAGGACUGGAGAGGAGACUGGAAUUUACGGUGUAGCGGUGAAAUGCGUAGAUAUCGGGAGGAAUACCGAUGGCGAAGGCAGGUCUCUGGGCUAUAACUGACGCUCAUGCACGAAAGCGUGGGGAGCAAACAGG